RNAcentral lists this long non-coding RNA (229 nucleotides) under Capsicum annuum. RNAcentral describes it as "long non-coding RNA (CANN_LNC014188)". Lineage: Eukaryota; Viridiplantae; Streptophyta; Magnoliopsida; Solanales; Solanaceae. The record is from RNAcentral.
AGGGGUUGGAAGUAUGAUUGGUAAUAUUUGGGUUAGUUGGACUAUUUAAGCUAUCAUGAAAGCAUAAUUUAGGCAUAUUAACCUAGUUGCUCAUGUUUUUUGGGAAUUUGCUACCUUAGGUCUCUUUAUGGACUAAUUAACAUCUAUAAAGGAGUUUAGAUAUCUCGACCUAGUCUGGAGUAGCAUUUGCCUAAAAUAGAUUCUGGGGAUUAGAAGUAAUCCCCUCCGG